This 29-nucleotide small RNA is filed under the name Bombyx mori (domestic silkworm). RNAcentral describes it as "ovarian small RNA-14403". The record is from RNAcentral. Lineage: Eukaryota; Metazoa; Arthropoda; Insecta; Lepidoptera; Bombycidae.
CGCUAUCCAGCCCACGCGCAGCCUGCCUG